RNA transcript from Cydia pomonella (codling moth), 3252 nucleotides. It is a transcript of the gene named heterogeneous nuclear ribonucleoprotein M, with no coding region annotated. The transcript has 14 exons. The record is from RefSeq and is a predicted model, not a curated record. Lineage: Eukaryota; Metazoa; Arthropoda; Insecta; Lepidoptera; Tortricidae.
AUAUAGCGACAGGGCUGCCAAAAAAAUAAAAAAAAUAUUGAACCGCCAUUUUGUACAGUUUCGGGAAAGUGAUUUGUUUACUGAUAACCACUGUUCAUUCUCCUAUUUGAUACAGUACUCUAUAACUUUACGGUAGUUAUAAUAUUAUUAUAGUCUAUAGCAGCCAACAGUCCCGAUAACGAAAUGGAUAACCAAAGAGAAAAAGAACGCGACCGUUCAAAGCGUGGAGACAGGCCAUCCAGGUUUUCCGACGCUCAAAGAGACCGCUCUAAUGACCGCGAAGCGCGAUCAGAUGGAAAACGCUUGUUCGUGUCCAACAUUCCAUACGAGUUCCGCUGGACUGAGCUUAAAGAUUUAUUUAAGGAAAAGGUUGGUGAUGUGGCAUAUGUAGAGCUGUAUAAUGAUGAUAAUGGAAAACCACGAGGGUGUGGUGUUGUUGAGUUCACUAACACAGAGGCUAUGAAAAAAGCUCUCUUUGUAAUGCACAGAUAUGAACUCAAUGGAAGGAAGCUAGUGUUGAAAGAAGAGACAGGUAAUGAACGCAACAGGGUUGGAUCUGCCAGGCAAGGAGGUGGGGGUGGCGGUGGUGGCAACAGGAACAACAGGGAUGAUAAAGAUGGUUGGGGAAUGAUGAAACCGCGGGAGCCUGAAAACUUCAAUACAUAUGGGCUCAGUCUCGAAUUCCUGGACUCCAUUAAUGUCCAGCCGCCACUAGUGAAGAAAGUUUUUGUUGCCAAUCUUGACUACAAAGCGGAUCGUGCCAAAAUAAAGGAAAUCUUCAAAAUGGCGGGUAAAGUGCGUAACAUAGACUUAGCGGUGGACAAAGAUGGCAACAGCAGGGGAUUCGCCGUUAUCGAGUACGACCAUCCUGUUGAAGCCGUGCAGGCAAUAUCCAUGUUCGACAAGCAAAUGUUAUACGAACGUCGAAUGACAGUCCGAAUGGACCGAGGCAACUCGGAAAAGUCAGAACUAAGACUGCCGGAAGGUCUAAAAGGCAUCGGCUUAGGUUUAGGACCUAACGGCGAACCAUUAAGAGACGUGGCAAGGAAUCUGCCUCAGAACUCGAACGGUCCGAGCUUGAACCUGAACAACAGUAGCUCCUCGCUGGGCGCGGGCGUGCUGGGCGCCGUGCCGCCGGCCGGCGUCGCGCUCAACGGGCUCGGCGCCGGCCUGGCCGCCAACCCGCUCGCCAGCAACACGCUGGGCGGAGGCCUGGGGCUGCAGGCUCUGGGUCUAACGGGGCUCGGAGCCCUCCAGAACCAGCUGCUGCAGCAGGGCCUGACGGCCGGCGACCUGGCCACGGUGCUGACGGCGCAGGCGCAGGCGCAGGCGCAGGUGGCGCAGGCUACCAAUGUCGGGGUCAAUGUCAACUCCGGCCUCAACCUGAAUAAUGAUUUGAGUGCGCUUGGAAAUAAUGCUUUGAGCAGUAAUGUCAUGGGAGGGAAUAAUUCUAUGAGCAGCGGGCCGCUUUCAGCUUCGAGCAGACAAAUGGUCGGAGUGACUGGCUCUGGACAAGGCUACGGACGGGACUCCAGCGUCGUCCAACAGAGCUCUCGAGACAAGUCGUCCGACAUGGUUGCUAUCACUAAUCUCCCGCCGACCGUGACGUGGCAGCUGAUCCGCGAGAAGUUCAGCGAGUGCGGCGACGUCAAGUUCGCGGAGAUGACCGGCCCCGACUCCGCCAUCGUGCGCUUCCACAAGGAGUGGGACGCCGAGCGCGCCAUCAAAAUGUUCGACAGGACCCGCAUUGACGGAAGAACUAUUGACGUCAGAUUUUUCUGAGACGAGGAAACAAGGAGUGUUUCAAGUUGAUGUGUUGUGGGGUUUGUAUAACGGCUGCCUGCAUAGAAAACUUUGUUCUUUACUCUCCAUUAAGUAGUCCACUUUGUGUUUGACAAUCGAUUAGAUAUGUAUCUUAAGUUUAGUGUAAGUUGUCAGGUUUGCUAUUUGCGUACUUUUAAUUUCUAAUGAAUGUGUAAGAUGGAACAUUUUAUUUGUGAGUUUACUGGAAUAUAAAUCUAGGACAUAUAAUUGUUUAAAAAUAGGUUUGGUCUUAAGAAUGGGUCGAUCUUUGUCUUGAACUUGCGUGAUAUGCUGAUGUUCGAUGUAAUAUUAAGCUCGUUCACGAUUUACUUGUUUCACUCCCCUGAAUGUGGGAUAUCACACUGUAAUGAAUAUUCAUUUAUUUCGUAUAUUCUGGUUUUAAAAAGGACCCGAAAACAGGUGUUAUGGAGCUCAAUUGGACAUUAAUCGUGUUGUUUUAUCCACAAUUUGAUCAAUUGGGUUUCUAUUGAAACAUUUUAACUGCGACGAUUGUAGGUUCAAGGUAUGGUGGGAGGAGACAAGAUUUUUGAAACCCUUCUAAUACAUUUUAAGUUAGUUUGCGUAGUGUAUUGUAUCUUUAAAAAGAGCCAGUCGGCACAAUUGUUAAGGUCUAAUAAAUAUUGUUCAGUCAUAACUUCCAUUCACAUGCAAAAUUAUAAUUGAAUAAAUUUUAAUGUAUCGUGUACAAUGAAUUUUUAUUUUUGUCGCUCACAUGGUGAUAGCCCGAGUAUUUCUGCAGUGAAGAACUAGAAAGAGUCAGUAGGUAUUACAGAUGCUGAUGAAUUCUGUCGAGUACUUUCUAAAAAGUUCUCGAUGUUAUUCGAUAUUGAGUUCACUGUUAAUCGUUAAGUGUGAUCCGAAAGGACGAAUCUACAAGAAAGAAUUGAGACGUUGAUCAACAUGGCGGCUUUGUCAAGCUCUCCACUCUUGCUACUUCUCGCUUGAACUCCGCCGGCCUUCUUCAAAGAUAAUUUGGUCGGCCAAGGGAAGAUUAUCGAAGAAUCGAUUCCAGCGAUGUCGUUGAAGCUUCAGAAUAAGUGACAAUACAUGGUUACAAGAUGGAUUAAAAUAAAUGGAACUGACCAUUCCUUAGCCAUUUGACCGCCAAAGACGUCAACUGACGCGUGCUGGUAAAGCCGAACCUUCGUGGAUUUCGAGAAGGUUCACGAUGAUGCGUCGCACAAGAUAGGCGUGGCGUUAAAAGGGUUGAAAUCGACGGAGUCGCUUUGUUUGGUUGAUGGUUCACAUAAGAUAAGAUGCCAAAUAUGCUCGCGUCCUGUAGCAAGCAAAGGUAAUAUGCUCCACUACAUUCUGACUCGCUUGGUGAUAUUUUGAAUAGAAGUUUAGUUAUUUAUUAUACAAUUAUGUUUAUUGUGAUUAUACCUUAUUUUUCUGAAUAUUAAAGACUGAAUACAAAGUACGAACCAA